GCUCCAGUGGCGCAAUCGGUUAGCGCGCGGUACUUAUACAACAGUGUGUGCGCAAGAGCGAUGCCGAGGUUGUGAGUUCAAGCCUCACCUGGAGCA
This 96-nucleotide transfer RNA is filed under the name Neotoma lepida (desert woodrat). It matches the Rfam family "tRNA". Rfam says of the family: Transfer RNA (tRNA) molecules are approximately 80 nucleotides in length. Their secondary structure includes four short double-helical elements and three loops (D, anti-codon, and T loops). Further hydrogen bonds mediate the characteristic L-shaped molecular structure. tRNAs have two regions of fundamental functional importance: the anti-codon, which is responsible for specific mRNA codon recognition, and the 3' end, to which the tRNAs corresponding amino acid is attached (by aminoacyl-tRNA synthetases). tRNAs cope with the degeneracy of the genetic code in two manners: having more than one tRNA (with a specific anti-codon) for a particular amino acid; and 'wobble' base-pairing, i.e. permitting non-standard base-pairing at the 3rd anti-codon position. Lineage: Eukaryota; Metazoa; Chordata; Mammalia; Rodentia; Cricetidae. The record is from Rfam by way of RNAcentral.